CUUUGUCUCCUUUUCAAACAUAUCCAUUAACGUUUGACUAAGUUUGUUCCAUGCAACCUCCCCCAUUGAAUUUUCAAAAAACAAAAGUAAAUUAACCAACCGCGGUAGAAGACUGGAUUCUGAUAAAUCAUCGUCAGAAUAUCUUUGUACUCUGAUAUAUUUCCUUGAACAAUUGAAUAUAUGGCUCAAAUUAUCAUUCCUAAUGAUACACUGUAAUCCACCUAACUUUUGCACUGCCUUUAAGCUUGAUGGGUAAAUUAUGUACGGACAUUGUUUGUGAUUAUAUUUUAGUAACUUCUCUGCUUCUCCGAGAUCCAGCGUUUUCCCCACAUCUGUAAUAUGCCAACAGAGCAUUCGAAUCGGGUUGAUCAAUAGUCGAGAUAUAAACCAGUGCGAACUGAAUGAUUGGUGGUAAAGGCUAUUUUCAAAAUUUCUUUGCAUAAAUUUUAAAAUAAGUUCUUGUAUAGCGAUUCUCUGUUUCGGUGUAAGCGACUUUUGUCGCUGAUGAACAAAUUCUGACAAGUAUUGAAACAACGUUGAUUCAUUGUAUUGCUGACUAUGUAAUUUUGUCAGAGCGAUUCCUUUCCUGGAACAGAAAAACAAAUUUUUCAGAUGAGUAGAAGACAUAAUUUGAUACAGACCACCCAUUGCAGCUACAGCAUGU
Schizosaccharomyces pombe (fission yeast) is the source of this 664-nucleotide non-coding RNA. The record is from the annotation of a GenBank genome assembly. NCBI's taxonomy places the organism in Eukaryota, Fungi, Ascomycota, Schizosaccharomycetes, Schizosaccharomycetales, Schizosaccharomycetaceae.